RNAcentral lists this ribosomal RNA (272 nucleotides) under uncultured Pseudomonas sp. RNAcentral describes it as "partial 16S ribosomal RNA". It matches the Rfam family "Bacterial small subunit ribosomal RNA", at positions 27 to 301 of the family's 1533-position model. The record is from RNAcentral. Lineage: Bacteria; Pseudomonadati; Pseudomonadota; Gammaproteobacteria; Pseudomonadales; Pseudomonadaceae.
GAACGAACGCUGGCGGCAGGCCUAACACAUGCAAGUCGAGCGGAUGAGAGGAGCUUGCUCCUCGAUUCAGCGGCGGACGGGUGAGUAAUGCCUAGGAAUCUGCCUAGUAGUGGGGGACAACGUUUCGAAAGGAACGCUAAUACCGCAUACGUCCUACGGGAGAAAGUGGGGGAUCUUCGGACCUCACGCUAUUAGAUGAGCCUAGGUCGGAUUAGCUAGUUGGUAGGGUAAAGGCCUACCAAGGCGACGAUCCGUAACUGGUCUGAGAGGAU